RNAcentral lists this small RNA (83 nucleotides) under Marmota monax (woodchuck). The record is from RNAcentral. Lineage: Eukaryota; Metazoa; Chordata; Mammalia; Rodentia; Sciuridae.
GCCAGGCAUGGUGGUGCAAGCCUGUAAUCCCAGCAAUUUGGGAGGCUGAGGCAGGAGGAUCACAAGUUCAAACCCAGCCUCAG